This is a long non-coding RNA of Dermacentor albipictus, 3499 nucleotides long. RefSeq lists it as uncharacterized. Lineage: Eukaryota; Metazoa; Arthropoda; Arachnida; Ixodida; Ixodidae. The record is from RefSeq and is a predicted model, not a curated record.
UCAGUUGUGUUGCAUCUCGCGCGAGUACGUUGUCGUCGAGUGGUGGUUCUUUAUUCUAUGGAGUGGUUCUGAAAGCGCUGCGUUAGGGGCGACUGCAACCAGGCGUUGCGGCAAGUUACGGUGGGAACUUCUGUCCGUGCUGUGUGAUUGCGACGAGGACGACUGCCGCCAGCAGCGGCGUGUCGCCGAUUUCGUCUUUGCCGACAUCGAGCAAGUGCAGCGCCGGAAGUGUUGCGUUUUGCACUGCAUUUUCCUUGUGAUAUGGGAGAUCGCAACGCAGAGACGACCAGAUGCAUACGAAAGACUACCAGCGGAGAGUGACCUGUGCCAUAUUUCUCUUAACCUCUCAGGUAUUCAAGAAAUGGCAACAUCCAGAAGAAGACGCCAUCUUAUCCAGCACGUUAUGGGUACACUCUGGUGGCUCCCGCCCCUGCAUCCUACGACCACCGUGUCCUCACUAUGUUCACUAGGGAGUUCGAAGCCUUUGGAGGCUCCUGCCACUGCGUCCUGCCAGCACCGUGUCCUGACUACGUCCACUAGGGAGUUGGCAGCCUUCGUGAUGAUGCCAAGCAGGCUGGAAGCUGACAGAACGAUCGAGGUUGCCUCGAAAUUUUACCCAAGCCGUGCCACACACUUGGGCCAGGCCUCUUGCAAACGACGUAUAACCAGGCUCAACGCAGGAUGUCGAGUGAGUCCGGAGAUCGAGGCAACCUGCUGUGCAACCAGCGUGCAACCUUUGGUGACCCUCAACAUGUUCCACCUAUUUCACAGCUGCACUCAGCUUCCACCUAUCACCAGCUGUGGUCACUCAUCGAACCAUGGAUGAAUGUUGGGGUGGAGUGAUUUGAAGAGACAUUUUUUUUGUCUCUUCAAAUCCUUAGCAAAUACUUGUGUUAUUAUAAUUAAUAUGUGUCUUUAGUGCCUAGUUUUUAAUGGUUCCUUUCUAUUAGAAUUCUCGCCAUCGAUUCCUGCUAUUAUAAUGUAUGUCUGUCUUUAUGCACAGUUUUUCAUAGUUCUUUUGUACUUGUCUAUGUAAUUGAUAGGUUCAUACUUCUUGUUAUACAGAAGGCUAAAAUGCAAACUUACGGCAUUUUUUUCUUCCUUUUGAUAAUCUACAGCACUGCAAAGUGUUCAAGAAAUGUAACCCAACGUGGGCUCUGGUGCAGGAAAAAUUUAAGAGCAAUAUAGAGUACUUAUUUCAAACACCCAUUAUUUUUGGAAAAGUAAAGAAUAUAGGAGCACAAAAAAGAAAAUAUUAAACUAGAGAAACAUGAGUUCCCCUCAUAAGUCUGAUAAUAAUGUGACUUCCCUUCACUGUACAGACACCAGUAAUAUACUCGCAUACAAGGUUUGAAACAAGAAAGCUAUGAUGCCCUUGGCAUUUCUCAGUGCCUAUUUGUCACACUUACGAAUGUCAAAGGCAUCGUAGGUUUCAUGUACACAUUGGUUGUGUUACACUUUUGAGUAUUGAAUUUCUCAAACACAAAGGUUUACAGCAGUGCUUUAAAUAGCAAAUGCAUUUCCUAAUUUAUUAGUGCAAGAGGAACAGUACAGAUCAUGUAAAAAUUUUUUUACAGACUAUAUGUCCAUGGAUGCACGCUUCUGAUGACAUAGCAGUGACGUGGUCGUGGGAUGAAUGACUUUAUUUCAGAUUUAAAUAUUGGCUUCCAGGUCUGGGUUAGUCUCCUACACUGAAUAGUCUAGGUCAGAGCCCAUUUACUAGAGAAAGUGAAUUAAACUAGGAAUUAUAAACAUCAAAAGAUCUUGUUUAGGAAAUUAAUGUGACAAUCAGCAAGGUUCUUUGGGUAUUCAUUUCCAAAUUUGUAGGAUAUAUUUUAUGACUGGUUUCAUUAUUGUGAGAACAAAUAUUUGUUUAUUGUCACACUAGAGUUGGCUGCCCCCAUUUGUAUACAACCCCUUUACAUGCUAAAAAUUCAGUGUGUUACUCUAUUUACUCGCAUAUUGAUCGCACUUUAUUGUAAAUAAAAUUGACUCAAAUUCAGAGGUGCGAUCAUUACGCUACGUAAAUUUCCCACAAAAAGAAAAAAAUAUAUCCUCUGGCAUUUGCUACGGGAUGACAACAGGUCAACAAAGAGGUGGCUGCCUCUGUAUGUACUGCGGGACACACACACACAAAAAAAAACAUGGUGGCCGGCAGAGCAAGCCGAACGCGCGGAACACGAUUUUUUUGUCUUUUCGUGAAUACAUUACGUGCAUUCAAACAGUUUCUUCUGUAUCAGUAAUGAAUAAUAUCGGCAAGUUUGCAGCAAUAACAUAGCCAUGUCCGCUUUGAGGGGACAGAAACAGAUGGGCGCGCUUAGCUGCCUGGGACAUAGGAACACAUAACGGGCAUGCUGCGGAAACUGCGGCAUUUGUCUUCACCACUAUCCUAAUAUGGCACGUUUCCGCUAAGGGUGGGCGAAUAUCUUAGCUGUGUUACAAACGUCGGCGAAUGAAUAGGGUACACUUCUAACGUAUCGCUGUAAACGUGGCUGCUAUCAUUGCCACUCGCGAUUUGUUGCGUGCCACAACUGCAGACGAGAAGAAAUGAAAGACGCCUUUUUUGUUGUUUUUGUUGACUACAACCAUUACAAAGCCUACACAUAAUAAAGGCAAGUUUGGUUGUAGCUUUUUUUUUGUCAUAUAAGUGCAGAAAGUGAUGGAAGGAAUGGAAUGGGGCAUCUGCUUAAGAAUGUUUGGUGCGUGCAGACUGCUUGGUUUGUCUUGAAGAGUUGUUCUCAUAGCAGUUGACAGAUGGUAAGCGCGAUCAUUAUUAGCUAGACUUGGCACAUGACAUAUCGCUGCGGCAUGUUUGGGGUGCAAUCUUACACGAGAAAUAAAAAAAUCGAAUUUUGACAUCAGAAUUUAGGGGUGCGAUCAUUAUGCGAGUAAAUACGGUAUUAGGUUGUUUUUGGUUUUACGCACUCAGUGUUAAGGGAUGCAAAUGGUGACAUACAACAGAAUGCAAAAAUGACUAAUGAAUGCAAGCAGAGCGUGGGGCUUUUUAGGCAGAUGCAUGCGUGUGCUAUAUAUAAAGCCUGAAGGCAUUUUCUAAUACUUUGGUAGAAAACACUGACACCCACUUAUUAAGGGGAAAUACUCCUCAAAACAACUUUUUUAUAUAUUUGUACUAGAGAUUUGAAUAUACUGUCAUUCAUAAAGUGUUUUAUUAGAUUUGAAUUGUCAUUGAUUUUUGUGUAGCUGCUGUUCUUUAGUUAUGGUUCUACACAGUGGCAAAAUAUUCUUGUGGACACUUUCCUGUGUAUAAAAUUUUCAGAAAUAGCUUCAUGCUGUAUCUUAUUUAGCUAGUUAUAUACUGCAAAGUGAUGACACCUAUCGAAACGGCUUGUACAAUUACUGGAACUAUGCAAGAAAUAUUAGGCCACAUUAAAUAAUUUUACAGAUUGCACUUUCAAUGAGAUAUCAGCAUUCUGCAUAUCUUGAAUAGUAUGUAUGCCAAAUUUCGUUAGUAUAGGACAAUUAUAAGUGCAUAAGGUUA